Molecule: ribosomal RNA, 410 nt
Filed under: uncultured Methylomirabilota bacterium
Lineage: Bacteria; Methylomirabilota (SeqCode)
Description: bacterial SSU rRNA
Rfam family: Bacterial small subunit ribosomal RNA
Source: RNAcentral
AGCGUGGAGACAGGUGGUGCAUGGCUGUCGUCAGCUCGUGUCGUGAGAUGUUGGGUUAAGUCCCGCAACGAGCGCAACCCUCACCCCUUGUUGCCAUCAGGUCAUGCUGGGGACUCUAGGGGAACUGCCCCGGUCAACGGGGAGGAAGGCGGGGAUGACGUCAAGUCAUCAUGCCCCUUACGCCCUGGGCUACACACGUGCUACAAUGGCCGGUACAAAGGGAUGCGAGACCGCGAGGUGUAGCCAAACCCAAAAAGCCGGUCUAAGUUCAGAUUGGAGUCUGCAACUCGACUCCAUGAAGGAGGAAUCGCUAGUAAUCGCCCAUCAGCACGGGGCGGUGAAUACGUUCCCGGGCCUUGUACACACCGCCCGUCACACCACGAAAGUCUGCUGUACUCGAAGUCGCUGAG